Molecule: ribosomal RNA, 374 nt
Filed under: uncultured bacterium
Lineage: Bacteria
Description: bacterial SSU rRNA
Rfam family: Bacterial small subunit ribosomal RNA
Source: RNAcentral
GACGAACCGUGCGAACGUUAUUCGGAUUCACUGGGCUUAAAGGGCGCGUAGGCGGACUCGCCAGUCCGGGGUGAAAUCUUUCGGCUUAACCGGAAAAGUGCCUUGGAUACUGCGAGUCUUGAGGAAGGUAGGGGCAUGUGGAACUUCCGGUGGAGCGGUGAAAUGCGUUGAUAUCGGAAGGAACGCCGGUGGCGAAAGCGACGUGCUAGCCCUUUUCUGACGCUGAGGCGCGAAAGCCAGGGGAGCAAACGGGAUUAGAUACCCCGGUAGUCCUGGCCCUAAACGAUGGGUACUAGGUAGUGGGCUUGCAUGGGCUCACUGCCGAAGCAAAAGUGAUAAGUACCCCGCCUGGGGAGUAUGGUCGCAAGGCUGAA